AUUGAACGCUGGCGGCAUGCUUUACACAUGCAAGUCGAACGGUAACAGGCCGCAAGGUGCUGACGAGUGGCGAACGGGUGAGUAAUGCAUCGGAACGUGCCCAGUCGUGGGGGAUAACUACUCGAAAGAGUAGCUAAUACCGCAUACGAUCUAUGGAUGAAAGCGGGGGACCGUAAGGCCUCGCGCGAUUGGAGCGGCCGAUGUCAGAUUAGGUAGUUGGUGGGGUAAAGGCUCACCAAGCCAACGAUCUGUAGCUGGUCUGAGAGGACAACCAGCCACACUGGGACUGAGACACGGCCCAGACUCCUACGGGAGGCAGCAGUGGGGAAUUUUGGACAAUGAGCGCAAGCCUGAUCCAGCAAUGCCGCGUGCAGGAAGAAGGCCUUCGGGUUGUAAACUGCUUUUGUACGGAACGAAACGGCUCUGGUUAAUACCCGGGGCUAAUGACGGUACCGUAAGAAUAAGCACCGGCUAACUACGUG
This 482-nucleotide ribosomal RNA is filed under the name uncultured bacterium. RNAcentral's name for it is "partial 16S ribosomal RNA". It matches the Rfam family "Bacterial small subunit ribosomal RNA", at positions 30 to 507 of the family's 1533-position model. The record is from RNAcentral.